RNAcentral lists this transfer RNA (69 nucleotides) under Partenskyella glossopodia. Lineage: Eukaryota; Cercozoa; Chlorarachniophyceae. The record is from RNAcentral.
AAAAAGGUGAAGGUCGUAUUUCCUGCCUGCCUGGUAAUUUAUAAGUAAUUUGACGAAUGGCAUUUGCGA